Molecule: ribosomal RNA, 443 nt
Filed under: uncultured bacterium
Lineage: Bacteria
Description: partial 16S ribosomal RNA
Rfam family: Bacterial small subunit ribosomal RNA
Source: RNAcentral
CCUACGGUGCGCAGCAGUGGGGAAUAUUGCACAAUGGGCGAAAGCCUGAUGCAGCAACGCCGCGUGAAGGAAGAAGGGUUUCGGCUCGUAAACUUCUAUCAACAGGGACGAAAGAAAUGACGGUACCUGAAUAAGAAGCCCCGGCUAACUACGUGCCAGAAGCCGCGGUAAUACGUAGGGGGCAAGCGUUAUCCGGAAUUACUGGGUGUAAAGGGUGAGUAGGCGGCAUGGUAAGCCAGAUGUGAAAGCCUUGGGCUUAACCCGAGGAUUGCAUUUGGAACUAGCAAGCUAGAGUACAGGAGAGGAAAGCGGAAUUCCUAGUGUAGCGGUGAAAUGCGUAGAUAUUAGGAAGAACUCCGAUUGCGAAGGCAGCUCACUGGACUGCAACUGACACUGAGGCUCGAAAGUGUGGGUAUCAAACAGGAUUAGAUACCCGAGUAGUC